AUACGUAGGGGGCAAGCGUUAUCCGGAAUUAUUGGGCGUAAAGAGUGCGUAGGUGGUUUUGUAAGUGCGGGGUGAAAGGCAAUGGCUCAACUAUUGUAAGCCCUGCGAACUGUGAGACUUGAGUGCAGGAGAGGAAAGUGGAAUUCCUAGUGUAGCGGUGAAAUGCGUAGAUAUUAGGAGGAACACCAGUGGCGAAGGCGACUUUCUGGACUGUAACUGACACUGAGGCACGAAAGCGUGGGGAGU
Molecule: ribosomal RNA, 246 nt
Filed under: uncultured bacterium
Lineage: Bacteria
Description: partial 16S ribosomal RNA
Rfam family: Bacterial small subunit ribosomal RNA
Source: RNAcentral